CAUUUUUUCAAGACUUUAAAUUCCUCUCACAAGUGGCAAGCGUACCUUGACAAAAAUGUUAAUGCGACAUUUGUUUGACUUCAACUUUUGAAAGUGGUGCGAAAUCGCGGUGAGGAAAUGAUUUUACCCAUUCAAGUAUGGUAUCGUAACUUUUGAAAGGAAACUACAUACCUAUUUUUAGUAGUGCUCAGUGUAGUUUGGAAUAUAAAAUGUGUAUAAAAAUAAUACUAGAUUGAGUGACGAAGGUGUAGGUUAGGUUUAGGUUUCCUCGAACCCUGGUGAUGGCAGCUGUUGUUAAAUUCUGGUGUCACAAACAGAUUCUGACGAAGUUGUGUUUAUGACCAGCUCUGUCUCCAGCCUAGGCAGCUAGGAUCUGAGUGGAGGAAGUGGGUGGUCGCGUCUUGGAGGAAGGAUCUUGGCUGUGGCAGGGAAACCUGGAAGCGGUGUUGCGCCUGAGAACUCUGCCCACUGCUCUCCUUUGAACAUCGUCUUGAGGUUGAAGAAUGCUGGUGAAACAAGAACACAGGGACUUCGAAUAAUGAGUCUGGUGGAUGAAUACAACUGUGUUUGGUUCGUGUUGAUGAAGAAAUUGUCUUUCUUCAUUGGUGUUGGCUUGCAAGUGACCCAAUUUCCCUUGGCCAACGACCUGGUACGGACUACUACUGUCAUUCUGCCAUACAAGGAAAACCUGCCACAUCUUUGAUGCAUUUUACCUGGCUGCAUAAAGGCUUGAUAAUUAGCUUCGUUACUCCCGCAGUAAGAGAUUGUUUGUUCCCAAC
This is an RNA transcript of Macrobrachium nipponense, 779 nucleotides long. RefSeq lists it as uncharacterized. The record is from RefSeq and is a predicted model, not a curated record. The transcript has 5 exons. Lineage: Eukaryota; Metazoa; Arthropoda; Malacostraca; Decapoda; Palaemonidae.